GCCCGAGUGGUGGAAUUGGUAGACACGCUAGACUUAGGAUCUAGUGCCGUAAGGUGUGCAGGUUCAAGUCCUGUCUCGGGUACCA
This 85-nucleotide transfer RNA is filed under the name Pseudobdellovibrionaceae bacterium. RNAcentral describes it as "Bdellovibrionaceae bacterium (activated sludge metagenome) tRNA-Leu". It matches the Rfam family "tRNA". From Rfam's summary of the family: Transfer RNA (tRNA) molecules are approximately 80 nucleotides in length. The record is from RNAcentral. Lineage: Bacteria; Pseudomonadati; Bdellovibrionota; Bdellovibrionia; Bdellovibrionales; Pseudobdellovibrionaceae.